CCAGACUCCUACGGGAGGCAGCAGUGGGGGAUAUUGCACAAUGGAGGAAACUCUGAUGCAGCGACGCCGCGUGAGGGAAGACCGUCUUCGGAUUGUAAACCUCUGUCUUUGGGGAAGAAAAUGACGGUACCCAAAGAGGAAGCUCCGGCUAACUACGUGCCAGCAGCCGCGGUAAUACGUAGGGAGCGAGCGUUGUCCGGAUUUAUUGGGUUUAAAGGGUGCGCAGGCGGGAGCACAAGUCAGCGGUAAAAGUCGGGGGCCUCACCCCGGCUCCGCCGUUGAAACUGUGUCCCUUGAGUGCGCGAAGGGUAGGCGGAAUGCGUGGUGUAGCGGUGAAAUGC
This 341-nucleotide ribosomal RNA is filed under the name uncultured bacterium. RNAcentral describes it as "partial 16S ribosomal RNA". It matches the Rfam family "Bacterial small subunit ribosomal RNA", at positions 331 to 689 of the family's 1533-position model. The record is from RNAcentral.